Molecule: unclassified non-coding RNA, 2527 nt
Filed under: Diabrotica virgifera virgifera (western corn rootworm)
Lineage: Eukaryota; Metazoa; Arthropoda; Insecta; Coleoptera; Chrysomelidae
Description: uncharacterized LOC126883050
Source: RNAcentral
AUAUUUUUAAUUUUUUUUGUAAAUGUAAGCUAUUUAAUUGCACAUAAUUAAUUAAAAAAUUAAUAUAUUAUAUAUAUUAUAUAUUAUACAGUACAAUUUUCAAAUGAGGAAGACCUAACCCUUCGGUUCAAACCUAACUUUCGGGUAUUAGAGCUGCUGAUAUAUACCGCUGCGCGCAAUCACAAUAUACCGUUUUGUUUAGCAACCCUCUUAAAGGUAAAUUUCAGUACCCCAGGAGGUAUUUGACCGCUGCGCUCAAUCACAACCCACCCCCGGGACCGACUCCACGAGCUUCAGUAUGACGCGACUACGCUCUACGACAAGGGCGCCCCCAGGGAGGGGCCAGGUGGGGCCAUCGCCCCCCCUGAGAAUUUGGCGAAAGCGUGUAAAAAAUAUUUAGCUCUCUCUUACUUUAUAUUAUAAAAUAAAUUGCAUAUUAAUCAUAAUCGCUCACGAGAUAUGCCAGUUUAAAUGUAUUUUUUCUCAAUCCCUUAUCCCUUCUGACUGAGACGCAUAUGUUUGGAUGGAACCGCAUCGUUUUCGGUGCGCAUGCCGCAUGCACUGAUGAUGUCCGGUCUAGGCUUAUCCAGUUGAGAAAUGAAAUAGGUGGGCUGAACGGCCGAUCUGAUACGUCUAGUAGUACGGUAGUGCUCACAAUUUAUAUACUGUUAUUCAUAGAACUUAUAUUAACGUGUUAAAAGUGUUUUUUGUGCAACGUGUAAGUAUUAUAUAAUAUACUUUAUUUCUCACUUGACCUUAAAUAAAAUAGGCUUAUUUUUACGAGGUAGUUAUCUAUUGUGUGUAAAGGUAAAAAAUACUUUUUUAUGAAUUAAAAUAACAUCAUUUGCGUCUAUGAAGUACAAUUACAAUAUUUAUUUCAAAAAUUGUGCUUGAAGUAAUAACAUUUUUUAUAAGUACCCUUCCUACUUUAAGAAAAUAAGUUAUUCCUGUAUCGCAGUUGAGAUAUUCAACUGUGCAAGGUAGGUAUUUUAAUCUACAAAUUUUAAUUAACUUAGAUGAAUUUUUUACUUCUCUAAAAGGUUUUAAAAAUAUUUUUCAAUGCAACUAAAUUAUCCAUUUGGUCUUAUUCUGUCCAUUUAUCGGCCUACUCCCCGGUUAAAUGCGUUAAUUUAUUUGACACCUAACACUUAGCUGAUUGAAUGCAUCAAUUUAAUUAGCCUACUGUAUUUGUAGAAAAAUGGACAUAAGGAAGUUCUUUAACAAGCCAAACAAGCGGCUGAAAAUUGAUGAUGGAUCUGACAUACCGAACAGUACCGAAAACAGUAGUAUAGUAUGCAGUCAAAAUGAUUUAGCUGUAGCAGGGCCAUCUAGCUUGGAGUCAGCUGUAUCCGCCUCUCAAAGAGAAACUAACGUUGUAACGGCCACCGCAUCGGAUAAUUUUGCGAUUGUUGAAGACAGUUUAAAUUUGGAUGUUGGGAACUACCUUGAUACUAAUAAAAUUUGUAGCUUGAACGAUCGCUUGAAAUUUACUUUGUUAACAAACCCAUGGAAGCCAGAUAAAUGUUACAAUUUCAAGUAUGAUAUUGACGAUGGCAAACGACCAUUUAUCCAUGAAUGGUUAAAUACGUACCCCUGGUUAGCUUAUUCAAAAGAAGUUAAAGGUGGGCUAUGCAAGUUGUGUGUACUGUUUAGGCCCCGCGUAACCCAUGGUAGUUAUCAAAGCGGCUUUAUAAAUCGCCCAUUCACCAAUUUCAGAAAGUUUCAUGAAAAUGCGAAAUCGCAUAUGAACUCUGAAUGGCACAGACAAGCAUCUGAAAACUCAAGUAACUUUAUAUCUGUCAUGAAAAAUGAAAAGAAAAAUGUUGAAUGUCUUGCAAAUUAUCGUUUGGCCAAGCAAAUUGGCAAAUUGGUCACAGACCAAAUCACUCUACCCAGACUAUCAACGAAUACUAUAGAAAGUCCAUUUUCUUGCCUUAUUUGGAUUCUUUGGUUCAAUCGUUGAAAGAUAGGUUUUCAGAUAGAAACAAACCAUCAUUUGAAAUUUUCAAUCUGCACCCUAAAAUCAUGAAAGAUCUUUCUAAGGAAGAUUUUGAAAAGUCUAUUAACAAUAUAAACAGCACGUAUUGUGAAUUGUUAGACAACUUUAAGGAGCAAUCAAUUCUGUGGUUCGACCUUUGGAAAAACACGGAGAUAGAUGCCAAAGCCUUGGAAAAACUGAACUUAAUAGAGGUUCUUGAGCAUGAGCAUGCCUGCUUUUUGCGUCAGUAGCAAAAGCCAUCCAAAUAGCUCUUUGUCUGCCACCAACAACUUGCACCAUCGAGCGAUCAUUCAGCACUCUCAAACGUGUGAAGACCUGGAUAAGGAAUACGAUGUCGAACAAUCGUCUAAGUGGGCUAUGCCUGUUAUCUGUACACAGAAGAAAAAUAAAAGAAAAUAAAGAAAACUUCAUGCAGAAAGUAAUUGAUUUAUUUGCGAUGGACACCAGAAGAAUUCAAUUAUUAUUUAAGUAACAUUUUACUGACACUAACCGUGUUGCGUUUUAAACAGCAAAACAAUUUUUCUUGUA